This is a ribosomal RNA of 560 nucleotides. The stretch from base 217 to 370 matches the Rfam family "5.8S ribosomal RNA".
UUCCGUAGGUGAACCUGCGGAAGGAUCAUUACCUGGCCUUGGGCCGCUCGUGGGGGUCCGUCGCUUGCGACGGUGCUCUCGCGGGUGCUUAGCCCUUGAACACCACCUUGACUAUGCGCACCGUUGUUGUUCCCUCGGCAGUCCUCUGCCGCUGGGACCCCAUAAACCCUCUUUGCAGUAGAAUCAACCCUUCUGAAAACAAACCUAAUUAAUUACAACUUUCAACAAUGGAUCUCUUGGUUCUGGCAUCGAUGAAGAACGCAGCGAAAUGCGAUAAGUAGUGUGAAUUGCAGAAUUCAGUGAAUCAUCGAAUCUUUGAACGCACAUUGCGCCCCUCGGUAUUCCGUGGGGCAUGCCUGUUCGAGCGUCAUUUACACCCUCAAGCUCUGCUUGGUGUUGGGCGUCUGUCCCGCUUCGCGCGCGGACUCGCCCCAAAGGUAUUGGUAGCGGUCUUGCCGGCUCCUCGCGCAGCACAUUGUGCCCUGGAGCCCGGCGGAUCGGCGUCCAUGAAGCCCACAUCCACAGUUUGACCUCGGAUCAGGUAGGGAUACCCGCUGAAC